CUUUCAAUUAGAAUUUGGAAAAGCAAAUUGUACCUUCGGUUUGUUUCCAGACGUGCAUUUACUGUGCAGGCAUCUCACCAACCCAUUAAUAGAAGCAGGCCGGACGGAAGCAGCAAUCCAUUACUCAAGGAGAAGAGAGAGCAUGCGAAGACAAUGAGCUUCUGGAGAAGGAAGAAACAGCCUCCAAGGAAACAGUCAUAAAACACGAGAGGCCGCCCUUCAAUUGGUUGAAAGCACCGGGCAUGCGACACGCGUGGCCGGAUCACCGCUCCGAGGAAAUUUCCAUGGAUAGAGAGGUAUCGACGACGUCAAAAGGCCACGCAUUUUGA
Long non-coding RNA from Musa acuminata AAA Group (dessert banana), 329 nucleotides. RefSeq lists it as uncharacterized. The transcript is spliced from 3 exons. The record is from RefSeq and is a predicted model, not a curated record. Lineage: Eukaryota; Viridiplantae; Streptophyta; Magnoliopsida; Zingiberales; Musaceae.